This 879-nucleotide ribosomal RNA is filed under the name uncultured archaeon. RNAcentral describes it as "bacterial SSU rRNA". It matches the Rfam family "Archaeal small subunit ribosomal RNA", at positions 1 to 891 of the family's 1478-position model. The record is from RNAcentral.
CGACCUGCAGGCGGCCGCACUAGUGAUUUGACUAAGCCAUGCGAGUCAUAUGUUCUUCGUGAACAUGGCGUACUGCUCAGUAACACGUGGAUAACCUGCCCUUGGGACCGGGAUAACCCCGGGAAACUGGGGAUAAUACCGGAUAACGCAUAUCUGCUGGAAUGCUUUAUGCGUAAAAUGGAUUUGUCUGCCCAAGGAUGGGUCUGCGGCCUAUCAGGUAGUAGUGGGUGUAAUGUACCUACUAGCCUACGACGGGUACGGGUUGUGAGAGCAAGAGCCCGGAGAUGGAUUCUGAGACAUGAAUCUAGGCCCUACGGGGCGCAGCAGGCGCGAAAACUUUACAAUGCGGGAAACCGUGAUAAGGGGACACCGAGUGCCAGCAUCAUAUGUUGGCUGUCCAGAUGUGUAAAAUACAUCUGUUAGCAAGGGCCGGGCAAGACCGGUGCCAGCCGCCGCGGUAACACCGGCGGCCCGAGUGGUGAUCGUGAUUAUUGGGUCUAAAGGGUCCGUAGCCGGUUUGGUCAGUCCUCCGGGAAAUCUGACGGCUCAACCGUUAGGCUUUCGGUGGAUACUGCCAGACUUGGAACCGGGAGAGGUAAGAGGUACUACAGGGGUAGGAGUGAAAUCUUGUAAUCCCUGUGAGACCACCUGUGGCGAAGGCGUCUUACCAGAACGGGUUCGACGGUGAGGGACGAAAGCUGGGGGCACGAACCGGAUUAGAUACCCGGGUAGUCCCAGCCGUAAACGAUGCUCGCUAGGUGUCAGGCAUGGCGCGACCGUGUCUGGUGCCGCAGGGAAGCCGUGAAGCGAGCCACCUGGGAAGUACGGCCGCAAGGCUGAAACUUAAAGGAAUUGGCGGGGGAGCAAAUCCCGCGGCCA